This 440-nucleotide ribosomal RNA is filed under the name uncultured bacterium. RNAcentral's name for it is "partial 16S ribosomal RNA". It matches the Rfam family "Bacterial small subunit ribosomal RNA", at positions 338 to 795 of the family's 1533-position model. The record is from RNAcentral.
CCUACGGGAGGCUGCAGUAGGGAAUAUUGCUCAAUGGGGGAAACCCUGAAGCAGCAACGCCGCGUGGAGGAUGUAGGUUUUCGGAUUGUAAACUCCUUUUGUUAGAGAAGAUAAUUACGGUAUCUAACGAAUAAGCACCGGCUAACUCCGUGCCAGCAGCCGCGGUAAUACGGAGGGUGCAAGCGUUACUCGGAAUCACUGGGGGUAUCGAGCGCGUAGGCGGGAUAGCAAGUCAGAUGUGAAAGCCUAUGGCUUAACGAUAGAACUGCAUUUGAAACUGUUAUUCUGGAGUAUGGAAGAGGUAGGUGGAAUUCUUGGUGUAGGGGUAAAAUCCGUAGAGAUCAAGAGGAAUACUCAUUGCGAAGGCGACCUGCUAGAACAUGACUGACGCUGAUGCGCGAAAGCGUGGGGAGCAAACAGGAUUAGAUACCCCUGUAGUC